UUCACUCCUCUCCAACUCCUGCUGGGCGCCGAGGCUCGAGCCAGCACGCUGAAGAAAGACUAGCAGAGCUAAACCUGGGCGGUUCUCUUUCUGGUUUGAGAGCCUUCUCCAGACCAGGGUCGUCUCUUGUUUAUCUUCUCGCGCUUGCUACCAUGGAAGCUGAACUCGGGGCUGAGAACCAGGACCCCUUGUUGCUCUGUGUCUAGCAUCUUUACCAUCACCCUCCCCUCGCAAAGGUGGCUACAACUUCGAGGGAACUCUUUAUAAAGCGUUAGAGAGCCCUCGGGUAGCCAAGCAAGGCUAGGUAGCCUUCAAUCUCUUCGUUGCCUCCCCGGAAGCACAGUCCUGCCUAGCCUGACUCCACCUGGACGCCGGUCCCUUUCCAGUGUCCCGACCCACAGUUGUUCCCUCAGGGAUCCUGCUUCCUCAGUUACUCUUCCAUGCACCCCGCCAGCAGCCAACGUUUGGUUAUUUCCCUCCCUGGCUGAGAAAGAACCUCCGAACAGAUAUCCUUCAAGGCCACCUGAGGAAGGAGAGUAAACUGUUAGAAAAGCAACCCAGCUGCAUCAAUACCUUCCCUGAUUACCCCAGAGCUCAUUCAUCGCUGGAGCGCCAUUGCCGGCUCUCUCCCCAUCUUUCUCCAUUUUUGCUUCCUUCCUUGAGCCAGCUGUGGCCGCCUGUAAUCUGGAAGCCGGAUCCUGCAAUGAGCUGGCUGACUUCUGGGACUACCAGUUCAGCACUGCAGUAAUUGUCCUGCUGAGUAGGCCUGCAGUGGCCACAUUGCAGGUGGGGUUGCUGAAUGACACCUGUUCCUGUGAAUUCUUACCUCCAUCCAACCAGUCCAUCUGUAAAAAUCUCCCUGGAAUCAUUUCUUCCACCCUGUAAUUAUGUAACCUGACACUACAGGUUGUCUAUUUUAGGUUUACUUACCUGGCACAGGAAAUACUUUUUUGUAGUCACAUGCAUAGAGGUAGCUUGAUAUGAUUAAAAAAAAGAGAGAGAGCUCUGGGAUUGAGGCAAAGGCCUCCUCUGACUUUUGGCCAGGCAUUUAUGACUUCUCUGAAUCCCUUACUUCCUCAACAAUAAAAUCAGGUUAAUAUUUGCA
Molecule: long non-coding RNA, 1105 nt
Filed under: Monodelphis domestica (gray short-tailed opossum)
Lineage: Eukaryota; Metazoa; Chordata; Mammalia; Didelphimorphia; Didelphidae
Description: lncRNA (ENSMODG00000048027.1)
Source: RNAcentral